RNAcentral lists this transfer RNA (397 nucleotides) under uncultured Microcystis sp. RNAcentral's name for it is "bacterial LSU rRNA". The stretch from base 134 to 207 matches the Rfam family "tRNA". Lineage: Bacteria; Bacillati; Cyanobacteriota; Cyanophyceae; Chroococcales; Microcystaceae. The record is from RNAcentral.
AAGGGAGACCUAAUUCAGGUAGGAGACGAAAAAAAGUAGUCCCUACCAAGGAUCAAUCCCAAAAGGUCGGAGCGAGGCAAAAUUGGCUUUCAAACUAGGUUCUGGGUUCACACAAGACCUGAAUCAGGAACAAGGGCUAUUAGCUCAGGUGGUUAGAGCGCACCCCUGAUAAGGGUGAGGUCCCUGGUUCGAGUCCAGGAUGGCCCACCUGCACAGGCGGAAGAAAGAAAAGAAGCUCCGAAUCAGCACCUUAUCUUACUUAUAUAGUAAGAGAGAAUGCUGGCUCUGAGUACAGAGUCCAGAGGAACCUUGAAAACUGCAUAGAGCUAGGUGACAAAGCCAAAAAAGAAGACCGCAAGGUCAAGCUAAUAAGGGCUAACGGUGGAUACCUAGGCAC